GGGCGGGGAGGGCCCCGCGCCCCCUCAGCUGAGCGCGGGCCCCGCGGACCGGGGGAUGCGCCGGGAUCUGCGGUUGUUGCUGACAGCCAAGGCCUUCCUCUCCAAGCUGUUUAAAUGAGAAUGUCCCUGGCGCAAAGAGUGCUGCUGACAUGGCUUUUUACCUUACUCUUCCUGAUCAUGCUGGUGCUGAAGUUGGAUGAGAAAGCACCAUGGAACUGGUUCCUCAUUUUCAUUCCAGUGUGGAUCUUUGACACGAUCCUUCUCGUGAUGUUAAUUGUAAAAAUGGCCGGGCGCUGCAAGUCCGGCUUCGACCCGCGCAACGGCUCGCAGAACAUGAAGAAGAAGGUCUGGUACCUCGUGGCCAUGCUGCUGAAACUGGCCUUCUGCCUGGCCCUGUGUGCCAAGCUGCAGCGCUUCACCACCAUGAAACUGGCCUACGUGUUCAUCCCCCUGUGGGCCCUGCUGCUGGGGGCCAUGGUGGAACUGGGGUACAACAUCUUCUAUGUACGGAGAGACUAGGCCAGGCCAGGAGCUUCCAGGGCAAGGCUGGCACCAAAUUACUGGGUUAUUGCCAUUUUGCCACAAAUUUGAUCUUCAGACUAGAAAGCCAAAUGAGUCAAGCUGGAGACUUAAGCUAAAGCAGACUGAAGACUGAAAGUAGACAUGUUUCUUUUUUUUUUUAUUUUAAAACUCACAUAUGCUCUUGUAAAUAAAAGUAUUUGUUCAACAUAAGCUGUUCUAAUAUAAUUACUGAUGAUAUUUGUUACAUGGAAUAAGAUAUGAGUUCUUCACAUGCAGGUAGAAGACCUUGUCAAAAUAACCACAAAUGUUCAACCCAGAGUAUCCAGCACAUUGAGUAAUCCUGGGCAAGAGGACUAACAUUUUCUGCUGCUUAUGCUGUAAGUCAAGAAAUAACCAGUUAACAGUCAUUUCCAUAAGGAGCUAAAUUUGCUUCAAAAAUCAGUAACAACUGACAGCAGCCAAAUAAGAGCAAGAAAAGGAACACCUUUUUUUUGUUGUUGUUGCUUUUGACAGUGAGAUUCCAUUACCAGUGUAAAAAUAAGCAGUUUUCUGAGCUGCUGAAACAGCCCAUAAGCAGUAUGUUAACCCUAGGGAACACAGUUGGUAGCUGAGCUGUGCCAGCAGUCCUGAGAUCCAGAGAAGAGGGAGGCAAUGGUAUUUCUUUUGCAAGUGAGAGAUCAGCAAUGCUGCAAGAGACUGAAAAUACAGGGUGAGUAACCAAUACUGCACUUGUACCUGCCUCAAAGUGUUACUUGAACAAGACAGUCUUUAAUAGCUGAGGAUAUGAAAUUUUUGGGGGUGAAGCCUUGGCUUCAUGGCAAACUCAGAUGUGAGGAAAUGACCUUUGUCAGGUAACAAGCGAAUAGGACUUGAGGGAAGAACUGGAACUACAGGUGUAUUUUGUGGGCUAAAAUGCUCUUCCAGGAGACACAGUAACACCAAAUUCAAAUGUAGCAGUUAUCUGUGACAUUAUUAGCAUGCAUACUGAAAAUACUGAUCCAUUCCUAGAGACAAAAGAAUGUCAAGUGAAUGAAAAACAGUCUAGGGUAACAGGACAUACCUAGACAAGUGUUUCACUAGUAAAAUUAUAAGUAUGUACAUUCAGCUGUACUUGUCUGUGGAAAAAAGUCUUCCUGAAGUGUUUGGAUUUACUCUUGCUGUUUCAUCACACAGAUGUGGGUAAAAACACAGAGGAACCAUAUUGUGGGAGACUGCUGAAAAGAGCUGUAUCUAAGAAAACAUGUUCCAUUCUAAGGCAGUGAAUCUCAACUCAGAAUAUCAGGUAAACUUUGAUGACCCACUUAACAAGCAGUGAUACAAGUGUGGAACAAGCAUUCAAGCACCUGAGACAAGAUUAUUUUAUCUGCACACACACACACUUACCUGUGGUUUGAACACUUCAGCAUGCAUUGCAGGUUUUGAUGGAGUUAAUCUCCCAUAAGAGCCCUGCAGACCUGAAUGGGCCUGGGUACCAACUUGCUGCUGAAAAUCAUCAGGC
This is an RNA transcript of Zonotrichia leucophrys gambelii, 2020 nucleotides long. It is a transcript of the gene named transmembrane protein 60, with no coding region annotated. The transcript has 5 exons. Lineage: Eukaryota; Metazoa; Chordata; Aves; Passeriformes; Passerellidae. The record is from RefSeq and is a predicted model, not a curated record.